RNAcentral lists this long non-coding RNA (274 nucleotides) under Elaeis guineensis (African oil palm). RNAcentral's name for it is "long non-coding RNA (EGUI_LNC053586)". Lineage: Eukaryota; Viridiplantae; Streptophyta; Magnoliopsida; Arecales; Arecaceae. The record is from RNAcentral.
CAUGGUUUCAUAUGGCCUAUAUCUUGUAUAGCCCUCAAUCAUGGUUACCAUGCAAUACAUGGAUGGUUGUGAUUGACUACUUGGGUCUCUCUAGUUCAAAGUUCAACUAGAGCAGAACCAAAUUUAGGAGCAAUUGGUAAAGGACUGGUGGCUUCACCUCAAAUUCCAACACAAUGUUGUAAUUGCCCAGGUACAUAUUCGAACCAUAAAUUUUUGAGGAAAUUAGGAGGAAGCAGUAAGCGUCCCCCUAUUUUAUUGAGAGAUAUAGGACUAC